AUUGAACGCUGGCGGCAGGCCUAACACAUGCAAGUCGAGCGGAUGAAGGGAGCUUGCCCCUGGAUUCAGCGGGGGACGGGUGAGUAAUGCCUAGGAAUCUGCCUGGCAGCGGGGGAUAAUGUCCGGAAACGGGAGCUUAUACCGCAUACGCCCUGAGCGAGAAAGUGGGGGUUCUUCGGACCUCACGCUACCAGAUGUGUCUAGGUCGGAUUAGCUAGUUGGUGGGGUAAAGGCCUACCAAGGCGACGAUCCGUAACUGAUCUGAGAGGAUGAUCAGUCACACUGGAACUGAGACACGGUCCAGACUCCUACGGGAGGCAGCAGUGGGGAAUAUUGGGCAAUGGGCGAAAGCCUGAUCCAGCCAUGCCGCGUGUGUGAAGAAGGUCUUCGGAUUGUAAAGCACUUUAAGUUGGGAGGAAGGGCAGUAAGUUAAUACCUUGCUGUUUUGACGUUACCAACAGAAUAAGCACCGGCUAACUUCGUG
Molecule: ribosomal RNA, 484 nt
Filed under: uncultured bacterium
Lineage: Bacteria
Description: partial 16S ribosomal RNA
Rfam family: Bacterial small subunit ribosomal RNA
Source: RNAcentral